This 491-nucleotide ribosomal RNA is filed under the name uncultured bacterium. RNAcentral's name for it is "partial 16S ribosomal RNA". It matches the Rfam family "Bacterial small subunit ribosomal RNA", at positions 29 to 506 of the family's 1533-position model. The record is from RNAcentral.
AGUGAACGCUGGCGGUAGGCCUAACACAUGCAAGUCGAACGGCAGCACAGUAAGAGCUUGCUCUUACGGGUGGCGAGUGGCGGACGGGUGAGGAAUACAUCGGAAUCUACUUUUUCGUGGGGGAUAACGUAGGGAAACUUACGCCAAUACCGCAUACGACCUACGGGUGAAAGCAGGGGAUCUUCGGACCUUGCGCGAUUGAAUGAGCCGAUGUCGGAUUAGCUAGUUGGCGGGGUAAAGGCCCACCAAGGCGACGAUCCGUAGCUGGUCUGAGCGGAUGAUCGGCCACACUGGAACUGAGACACGGUCCAGACUCCUACGGGAGGCAGCAGGGGGGAAUAUGGGACAAUGGGCGCAAGCCUGAUCCAGCCAGACCGCGGGGGUGAAGAAGGCCUUCGGGUUGUAAAGCCCUUUUGUUGGGAAAGAAAAGAAGCAGGUUAAUACCCCGCUGUUCUGACGGGACCCAAAGAAUAAGCACCGGCUAACUUCGU